Long non-coding RNA from Ficedula albicollis (Collared flycatcher), 710 nucleotides. RefSeq lists it as uncharacterized. Lineage: Eukaryota; Metazoa; Chordata; Aves; Passeriformes; Muscicapidae. The transcript is spliced from 3 exons. The record is from RefSeq and is a predicted model, not a curated record.
UUCUGAGAAUAUCCAGGUGUGUUCUGGGCACGUCCAGGUGUGUUCUGAGAAUAUCCAGGUGUGUCCAGGUGUGUCCAGGUGUGUUCUGGGAAUAUCCAGGUGUGUCCAGGUGUUCUCUGGGCACGUCCAGGUGUGUCAAGGUGUAUUCUUGGAAUAUCCAGGUGUGUCCAGGUGUGUCCAGGUGUGUCCAGGUGUGUUCUGGGCACGUCCAGGUGUGUUCUGAGAAUAUCCAGGUGUGUCCAGGUGUGUCCAGGUGUGCUCUGGGCACGUCCAGGUGUGCUCUGGGCAUGUCCAGAUGUGUCCAGGUGUGUUCUGGGAAUAUCCAGGUGUGCCCAGGUGUGUUCUGGGCACAUCCAGGUGUGCUCAGGUGUAUCCAGAUGUGUCCAGCGUAGUUCCAGGCAUGUCCAGGGUAGUUCCAGGUGUGCCCAGCUGUGCCCAGGUGCGCCCAGGUGAGCUCAGUGUAAUUCCAGGAUAGUGCCAGGGUAAUUCCAGGUGUGUCCAGGUGAGUUCCGGGUAAUUCCAGGUGAGUUCAGGGUAGUUCCAGUUGUCCCCAGGUGCGCCCAGGUGCGCCCAGGUGCUCAGGGCAGGAAGCCCAUGUGUAUCCAGGUGAGUUCAGGGUAAUUCAAGGAUCGUUCCAGGGUAAUUCCAGGUGUGUCCAGGUGUAUCCAGCCGUGCCCAGGUGUAUCCAGGUGCGCCCAGGUGCGCCCAGG